Oryzias melastigma (Indian medaka) is the source of this 633-nucleotide long non-coding RNA. RefSeq lists it as uncharacterized. The record is from RefSeq and is a predicted model, not a curated record. NCBI's taxonomy places the organism in Eukaryota, Metazoa, Chordata, Actinopteri, Beloniformes, Adrianichthyidae. The transcript is spliced from 3 exons.
AAACCUUGUUUCUACCUUUAUUUUGCUGAAUUGGUUUGGUUGCCAUGGUGACGCGCAGGUACGAUGGUCAGACAGGAGUAAGGGUUAAGCAGCUUCUAGAAACCCUUUAAUGUGAAAUCUUUCACAUUUUUAGCCUUAGAGCCAAACUGACACUCCUUCUUUUAUCUACUUCCUGCUAAACUUUUUCAAAAUAAGAGAAAGCCGUUAGUGCCGCUCACAGCAGAUGGUCGCCCUCACCGGCUCUGGUUCUGCUGGAGUCUGAGUGAGCGGCGGAGGGAGUCGCCUCGGGCUCCUACCUGAUGCUGGAGAAGAGCUGCCGGUGUUCAUCGGUGGUCAGGAUGUCCGGCAGCACCGAGGCCAGCCACUCCACCCGCUUCUCUGCCGCAAACUGCUUGAGAACGCCGAACAGCUGCUCCUUCACUUCAGGCUCGCCGGACAGAAUCUGGUCCACCUGAUGGAGAGCGUCAAGAUGAGGUCUUCAAGUGGUUCCUCAUUUACAGAUUUCAACCCAACGGUUGGCUGUAAAUAAGCUGGUAAAGUUGAGUGUUUUCUGUCUAAAUAUAUUCUCAGCUCCACCUAAAGAACAGAGAAUAAAGUGAUAUUCAGAGUAAAGACCAUGUCCUAACUAUGAAA